Long non-coding RNA from Ctenopharyngodon idella (grass carp), 3224 nucleotides. RefSeq lists it as uncharacterized. The record is from RefSeq and is a predicted model, not a curated record. The transcript has 3 exons. Lineage: Eukaryota; Metazoa; Chordata; Actinopteri; Cypriniformes; Xenocyprididae.
UCGACACUGUACGCUUGUUUCGUAAGACAGAAGUGACGUGCCACAAUUUUUCAAUUACACUUUUUAUUGUGUAUACUUGGAGCCAUUGUUGCUAGACUACGCAAAAGCUUACAAUAGCUUGAUUAUACUGUGCAUUUCUGAUGCAACGGGAGUAUAUCUAAAUGGAUUUUAUUUUUUUAUUUUUUUUUACAAUUCGUUAACCACAGCAUUUGCAAUAAAAUGUCUCUUUCUCACCAUCAGUGUAACCGCCAGCUGAGGUUCUAAGGUGAAAACUCAUGAAUACAAACAUCAGUCUUCUCCUUUUCUUUCAGGGUUGUGUUGUCAGAUCCCAGAGCUCCAAACAGUAGAAGGGGCAGCCAGAGGGGACGUGACCAGUGGGAGAGAGGUCUGGCUGGGUUAGCUGAACUAUGCUUUGGCCUCCUUCAGCUGAUGGAGCGGUUUCUUCCAGGUGCCACCAGUGGAGACUCGAGCCCUUCGGACAUCUUCGACAAGGAUUUUUCUAGAACGAUGCAGGUGUAGAAAUAGCCAGGUGUGAGCAGAGAGAGGAAGCAGUCUGUAGUUAACCAGCACCACUCCUCGGAACUCAUCUAAUGCUGCUGGGCCCAGAGAACUGCUCAGAAUCACAACAAGGCAGUCCACUUUCUUCUAUAGAACACAAAAGGUGAUGAAGAGAUGAAAUUGAAGAGUUAAAGACCCAUUAUGACUCUUGGCAUGGUGGCAUUCCAACUUCUCAGUCCUGGGACAAUAGCAAUAAACAGCACAAUGUAUUCAUGGCAUCCCUUAUUGAUGGAAGUAUUUCGCAUGAAUGUGUAUUUCUCAUGUUUUAUUCAACCUUCAGGAGCUGUUGUAAGAGUUUCACUGUGCAUUAUUUGUUUGAGAAAAAUGUAAGCAAGGCCAAAACCUCUUGAUCAUUCAGAAAUGGAAAGCAGAGAGGCUAUAAACGCACAAUAUUUGGCUGUAUGUGAAGGUUAAACAUUUUUUAUAUUGGGUAUAAUUACAGUAAAGCCCAGAAAAUAUGUCAGAAAUAUUAUAGGCUAACAUUCAAAAACUGAAUUUUAGAAUUUUAUAUUAAUAUAAAAACAACAUAGGCUAUGGUAUUUAUUCUCAGUAAUUUCAGUAAUAAAAAUAAAAAGUUUAGGAUCUUUCAAAGGAUCAGAGAGGCUAUAAACAGAAAAUAUUUGCCUGUAUGUGAAAGCUAAACAUUUUCGAAUUGAAUAUGAUUACAGUAAAACUCUGGGAUGAAGCAACUAUAUCAGAAAUAUUAAAUGCUAACAUUCAAAAACAGCAUUUCUUAAAUUUUAUAUUAAAUUAAUAAAAAACAACAUUAGUAACACUAUUUUAGUGUCCUUGUUACAUGUGUUACAUGUACUUACUAUGGUAGUAACAGUAAAUUAUACAUAAUUACAUGCAACUAACCCUUACCCUAUAGUAAGUACAUGUUAAUUAAUAUUACUCAGUACUUAAAGGCACAAUAUGUAGUUUUUCGCCGCUAGAGGUCGCCUAUUCAAAACAAAGGCGUAGCUUGAUGAUGUCUAGAUUCAUGGGAAUCAUGGGAGAUGUCUUUACCUCACAGCCAGGGGAAAAGAAUCAUGUUCAUGGAUGAGAUUACUGUAGUGUGAAGCAAAGUAGGGCUGAAUGCUGUGCGAGCAAAAACGAGGCCGCUGAAGCGAUUGCUAAUGAGAGACGAGCGCAACACGCCUCAAAAGCAGCGGAACUUUUAGUAUGCCGCAGUCGCCGCCUCAGCUUCUUCCGGUCAAGCGUAUGUGGGGUAACGCAGCGCUGUUUUUUAUCAUAUUAAGGCAGGAACAAAGUUCGUCGGCCGACUAAGUUUUCUCAGUGUGUUCCACACCGUCGGCUGAAGUUGGUCCUCAUCGACAUGUCAAAUCGGCGUCGGAGCUCGUCAGACUGUCGGGCCAUCUGAUCAUUCUGAUUGGCUGUUCAGCUACUGCCACCUGCUGGUACGGAAAGGCACAGAACGGACGUGCUACUUGGUCGUCGGCUGUCAAGCGUCGGUUCGGUGUGUCAGGGCAACUUUGGACCCAGACGCUGCCGACGUGAGCUAACCCCACAGUCUGCUUUCAUCGCCACUAGUUCGUCGGUGUCGGCUUAGUGUGUUCCUGCCUUUAGAUACAUUUGAGUGUGUUUAAAAUUAUGUUAUAACAUUACUCUGUGCGUUCGCUCAGCGGCUACUAUGAGACGCUUAUUGCACAUUGCAGUAAGCUAGAUCGAUAUUAGAAUAUCAUAUCGCUAUAAACAAAAAAAACGAGAUUCAAACAAUAAGACUAAACGUGUUGAGCUAUAUAACAAUGAUUAGUUUUCUGUCUAUAAAUGUAUCCAAACAGUUGUUCCCUUGUCUAAUAAAACAUAUAAUAUAUUUAAGUGUCUUUGGUGUUUCCAUGGUUUUUAUUAAAUAAAACUGGAAAUCGAAGCUAACACAGGAAUGAUGUCCUUGAUAGGCGAUGCACGGACACGGUCCUUGUCCUGGUUAAAAUUGCUUAUUUCUCUGGUUUUAAACAUUCUUGGAAACAUCUGGGAUAAUGUAAGUACACAAGUCAACAAAAUAUAUAACACUGUUCUAGUGGUUUUUGGAUAUUUUAAUCCAAAAAUCUUACAUAUUGUGCCUUUAAUUGUAUAAUUACACUUUAACAAGGACACCUUAAAAUAAAGUGUAACCAUUUUUUUUUCUUCUGUAGUUUCAGUAAUAUAAGAUAUUUAAAAGGAUCUGUGUGGUCCUUAUGUUCAGUAGUAUUCCAUGACAUCAGUUCUUUUUUUUUGUUGUUUUUUCAGUUUAAAAUACAAUUCCAGUGUAUGAAAUUCUGUGAAAAUUAUGUCUCAUGAGAUCCAUUAUGUUCUAGAAAACCUUGGCAUGUCUCUGCAUGUCUUUGCACAUCUGUGUUAAGAUUUAAUGAAGGGUUGACAUUGAAGGGAUUGCAAUAUUGCAGAAACAUUAAAGCAGAGCUGUCUGGAUGAACCUGUUCUCUUCACGUUGACCAUCAGCCUACAUAUUGUCACUGAUGGUAUUUGUAUGUACAAUUUCAAGGUCUUUUAGUGAAAAGAUGGUGAUGGAGGAAUGUAGCAUGACAGAUAUGGAACUUGAGCGCUUUAAACAAAAAGAUAUUGUUUCAUAUGGUGGCAGGGGGCAAGUUUUUCCAAGACCCUAUAAAAGCAUAAAUUGCUAUCUAUGGCUCUUAGUUGUAUAUGUUUAUUAAUCAUGAGACCAUCGG